This 245-nucleotide ribosomal RNA is filed under the name uncultured Chitinophaga sp. RNAcentral describes it as "partial 16S ribosomal RNA". It matches the Rfam family "Bacterial small subunit ribosomal RNA", at positions 524 to 769 of the family's 1533-position model. Lineage: Bacteria; Pseudomonadati; Bacteroidota; Chitinophagia; Chitinophagales; Chitinophagaceae. The record is from RNAcentral.
UACGGAGGGUGCAAGCGUUAUCCGGAUUCACUGGGUUUAAAGGGUGCGUAGGCGGAUUGGUAAGUCCGUGGUGAAAUCUCCAAGCUUAACUUGGAAACUGCCAUGGAUACUAUUAGUCUUGAAUGUUGUGGAGGUUAGCGGAAUAUGUCAUGUAGCGGUGAAAUGCGUAGAUAUGACGUAGAACACCAAUUGCGAAGGCAGCUGCUACACAAAUAUUGACGCUGAGGCACGAAAGCGUGGGGAUC